RNAcentral lists this ribosomal RNA (735 nucleotides) under uncultured Fusobacterium sp. RNAcentral describes it as "bacterial SSU rRNA". It matches the Rfam family "Bacterial small subunit ribosomal RNA", at positions 28 to 776 of the family's 1533-position model. The record is from RNAcentral. Lineage: Bacteria; Fusobacteriati; Fusobacteriota; Fusobacteriia; Fusobacteriales; Fusobacteriaceae.
GAUGAACGCUGACAGAAUGCUUAACACAUGCAAGUCUACUUGAAUUUGGGUUUUUAACUUAGGUUUGGGUGGCGGACGGGUGAGUAACGCGUAAAGAACUUGCCUCACAGCUAGGGACAACAUUUAGAAAUGAAUGCUAAUACCUAAUAUUAUGAUAAUAGGGCAUCCUAUAAUUAUGAAAGCUAUAUGCGCUGUGAGAGAGCUUUGCGUCCCAUUAGCUAGUUGGAGAGGUAACGGCUCACCAAGGCGAUGAUGGGUAGCCGGCCUGAGAGGGUGAUCGGCCACAAGGGGACUGAGACACGGCCCUUACUCCUACGGGAGGCAGCAGUGGGGAAUAUUGGACAAUGGACCGAGAGUCUGAUCCAGCAAUUCUGUGUGCACGAUGAAGUUUUUCGGAAUGUAAAGUGCUUUCAGUUGGGAAGAAAUAAAUGACGGUACCAACAGAAGAAGUGACGGCUAAAUACGUGCCAGCAGCCGCGGUAAUACGUAUGUCACGAGCGUUAUCCGGAUUUAUUGGGCGUAAAGCGCGUCUAGGUGGUUAUAUAAGUCUGAUGUGAAAAUGCAGGGCUCAACUCUGUAUUGCGUUGGAAACUGUAUAACUAGAGUACUGGAGAGGUAAGCGGAACUACAAGUGUAGAGGUGAAAUUCGUAGAUAUUUGUAGGAAUGCCGAUGGGGAAGCCAGCUUACUGGACAGAUACUGACGCUGAAGCGCGAAAGCGUGGGUAGCAAACAGG